Long non-coding RNA from Amphimedon queenslandica, 1069 nucleotides. RefSeq lists it as uncharacterized. The transcript has 2 exons. The record is from RefSeq and is a predicted model, not a curated record. Lineage: Eukaryota; Metazoa; Porifera; Demospongiae; Haplosclerida; Niphatidae.
UAAUCAUCUUAAUAAUACAGUUAAGGAAUUGGAAGAGACUGUGAACUCUCAAAUUACCUGUAUUGACAGGGUAAAGAAAGGCAUGCAAGGAUAGUGUACAUGUAUUAGUUAGAUCUUUUUAUAGUCGGUUUCAGUUGAGAAGAAACGGAAGUAAAUUAAUAUUUUCGUCAUUAAAACGUCACGUGUAGCCCCGCCCAAACAUGGCUGCAAUCUGCAAGCUCUGUCAUUCUUCCAGCGUUUCUUCUCCUUUAACUUACUUUACUAUCUAUUGUACCUCUACAGUGGUUGCUGCUACCUCCAUCUAUCCUUUUCUUGUUUUUGGUGCCUGUUUUUAGCUGGUAUAGAGCUCGGAAUACGGCUGAAUCAAUGAGUGUACUGAAAUUGAACAACAACUAAGAUUGAGAAGGCUGUGGAGUGAUAUAGCAAGAAUUAUUCUAGAGAAAAAGCUCCUGGUUGAAUAUUUGUAGUUCUAGAGAGCUUGAUAUGUUUUGUUUUAUUUUUUAAAUAAAAAACAUUAAUUUUUGAGUAAAUGUAAUGAGAUGCAAAUGAUAUUCAUCGGAGUGACGCACACAAUUCGUCAUAGCAGCUCCUUUCAUCUCAAGCGGAAGAACCCGUUUAGAACCUUCCAGAGUACCUAGAAACUCAAAAAUUGGUAAGGAUUUUCGGAAGAACCAGUUAUGCAGCUAUUCAUGUCUUUCUUGUGAAUAAAAUAAUGAGAUUCAUUACAUACCGUAUUGGUAGCUAAUGAGGAAAAAAAUUUCGAAAAAUUUCAAUCCUCCAUUUUGGAGGUAUAAGCAGUGCACAGUGCCUAUCUACUGUCGUGCUGUAGGCUGUAAAAACCUAGCAGGAAAGUCCGAAAAGAGUUUCUUUAGGUUUCCCAAGGAAAAGAAACAAAGGAAAGCCUGGAUAGUAGCUUUAAAACGGGGAGUCAAAUGGAAACCAACAAUUUACACAAGAAUUUGUAGUGCUCAUUUUGUUGAUGGGAAGUAUUCUAGAAACCCACAAGCUGACAACUAUAUACCAACACUUCUUGAAUUCAACAAGGUAUCUCCAUCCAUUGCAACAUCAA